RNAcentral lists this long non-coding RNA (3267 nucleotides) under Olea europaea subsp. europaea. The record is from RNAcentral. Lineage: Eukaryota; Viridiplantae; Streptophyta; Magnoliopsida; Lamiales; Oleaceae.
CAGGAACAAAGUCUCUUACCUACGGAAGAAGAGACAACCCGCCACCAAAAUUGCGAGAUUUCAACAUCUCAAACAAUAGAGAAACCCACCAACAACUCGACACAUCUCCGGCUGAUAAACCCAUUAACAUAUACUCCACAUCUCCGGUCGAACAUGAAGUGGGAAUCUCCCUAGCCGUCUAUAGUCAAACAGUGAAAUCGAUGAAGGGAAACCCAAACAGAAGGUGAAUCGACGUUGCAAUCUAAACCCAAGGUGAAAUCGACGGUCACAACUCCUCCAAUUGCGGAACAUCAGCUGAAAACAAUUUUAUGAGCAUCUCCUUCAGUUGUAGAAUCUGCAGCAAACGUUCGGUAAGUGGGUAUUUUCAAUCUUCAUGCAAAACCUGGAUCUUCUGUCAAUUCGUAUUCUUCUAUGAAACAUAUCAACGAGAUUGUUCCUUCUUUGUUUUCUCAAAAUUUACAGCAAAAUUUAUGUAGAAUUUUGAACUCUGGCUGCCAAACAUCUAGCAAUUUAUUAAUCUCGACAUGAACUUCUAAGCUUUACUCUCUCUGGUAUUUUAUUCCACCAACAAAUAAUAUAAUGAACAAAAGAUAAAAGUCAAAAAACAUGCAAAUUUAAGUGGUUCUGCAUUAACAGAGUUGAUGACAAAUUGAUGAAUUUCAUUAAUAAAGAGACAUUGUAGGGUCACAGAGAAUAGGCAGCAUGUAUAACAACAAACAGUCAUCUUCCAAAUAUUUUUCAAACAAACAUUUUGUAGGGUCCUAGAGAAUGGGCAGUAUGUUUAAAUUUCUGUACCAAUUGGUACAAACCCAUUUACUCUUAUAUGAAGUAAUAGGUUAAUUGCAUGCUUAGAUGUGAAGUGAACAUUUUUAUUGUGGCAGGAAAGGAGAUUAUGGAAGACGGCAAUGGAGAUUCGUUGUUGGAAUGUGAUAAUGAGAAUGUUGUAGAGAAUUUGAACACAUUGGAUAGCGAAAAUAUAGGAGGAGAUGAUGUGACCGUAGCUGUGGUGGGUAUGAUGUUCAACGAUGAGAAAGAAAUGUUUGAGUUUUAUAAAAGAUAUGCUUAUGCCGUAGGAUUUCUGGUGAGAAAAAGGAAUUCCAAAAAAGGGGAAGAUGGAGUUAUGAGAUAUGUGACGUUCACAUGGAGUCAUGAAGGUCGAAGAAGUUAUGCCACAAGCGGAUCCUUGAAGCCUCAACCAACAAGUCAAACAGACUGUAAAGCAAGGAUAUCUGCAUCUUUAGAUAUUCUUGGAGUUUGGAGAAUUAAUAAAGUACACCUCGAUCACAACCAUAAAACGAGUCUUUCGAAGUCUAGGUUAUAUUGAUGCAACCGAAAAUUGAGUGCAAAUUUGAAAAUGAAGCUUGAAGUGAACGAUAUGGCAAGCAUUUCGUUGCACAAGAUUUAUAACUCCGCAGUUGUGGAAGCUGGUGGAUACGAGAAUACAACUUUUGUGGAAAAGGAUUGUCGGAACGACGUGGAACAAGUCAGACGAUUACGACUUGGAAAAGGAGACGCCCUCGCAAUACAGGCAUACUUUUCAAAGAUGCAAGCACGGUGCUCGGAAUUUUUCUUUAGUAUGGACUUUGAUGAGGAGUGUCGGCUAAAGAAUGUUUUUUGGGCAGAUCACAGAUGUAGGCAGUCUUACAAGGAAUUCGGUGAUGUCGUCACUUUCGAUACUACCUAUUUGACUAAUAAGUACGACAUGCCGUUUGCCCCUUUUGUUGGGGUGAAUCAUCAUGGACAGUCCAUAUUAUUGGGCUGCGGACUGUUAUCGAAUGAGGACACUGGGACUUUUGUGUGGUUGUUUAGAAUAUGGUUUGAGUGUAUGCAUGGACAAGCUCCUAAUGCAAUUUUUACUGAUCAAGAUCGGGCAAUGCAAAAUGCAGUUGAUAUUGUUUUUUUGAACACGAAGCAUAGAUGGUGUCUGUGGCACAUUAUGAAGAAGUUGUCAGAAAAGUUCGGAUAUCACAUUCAGAAGAGCUCGAUAUUUUCUGCAAUUCAUGAAUUGGUGUAUGAUUCCGACAAUGGUCAAGAAUUCGAAGAAGGUUGGAGGUUGAUGCUCGAAACAUACGAGUUACAUGAUAAUGAUUGGUUAGCUAGGUUGUAUGAGAACAGAGCUCGUUGGGUGCCUUGUUUGUUGAAACCCACCUUCUGGGCAAGCAUGUCUACUUCACAACAAAGUGAGAGUAUGAAUGCAUUUUUGAUGGUUAUGUGCAUUCGAAGACCUCACUGAAGCAGUUCGUCGAGUAGUACGAGAGAGCACUACGAAAUAAGGUAGAGAAGGAGUUCCGGACUGAUUUCAAAUCGUAUUCUCAAAUGGUACCAUGUGCGACGCUUUUCGAAAUGGAAAAGCAAUUUCAAGCAGCUUAUACCAUUUCAAAGUUCAAAGAAGUUCAGGGUGAGAUCACUGGGAAGGUAUAUUGCGACGUUAUAUCUGAAAGUGCAAAUGAUUACUAAUGGUCGACUUAUGAUGUUCAUGAGCAUGUCGCACUUCAUGAUCACCAGAAGAUGAAAACUUUUACCAUGUCAUUUCGGAGGGAUACGUGCGAAUUGAUUUGUAGCUGCCACCUAUUCGAAUUUUGGGGAAUCAUUUGUAGGCAUGCGAUUGCGGUCUUGUUUCGUAAUAAAAUUUUCUCGAUGCCUCAUCGGUAUAUAAUAAAGAGAUGGAGAAGAGAUGUCAGUAGAGCACACACUAGGAUCGCAGUAAACUACGAUGGACUGGCAAGUACUCUUGGACAGCUUAGGUAUGACGAAAUGUGUCAGGCUUUUUCGGAGGUGGCGGACCUUGCAGCAGACGAUGAGGGACGGGCAUGUAGUGUAAUGGAGUGGAUAAGAUCGCAAGCAAACGAAUUGUGGAUUACAAAGUCAAGUAUAGGGAGCACUGGUCAGAUCCAAAUGGCAAGUAGCAAUGCGCACCUAUUAGAUCCAGCAUCGUGUAAACGAAAGGGAGCACCGAGGAAAUUUCGGAGGAAAAGCCCAUUGGAGGCCAGCUCAAAUAGAUCAAAGGUAAUUUCUUACUAUUAUUAGCUUCGUAGAGUUGGCAUUUUGAAACUAAUAAUUGUUUUACUUGUCCAACGUGUAGGCCUCCGCAUCAUUGAGCAAAGGAAAAAGACCUACAGUUCGAUGUAGUAAUACAGAAGAGACGUCAAUCGAUGUUCAGGCAGCUCAACUUCCACAACGUUCUAUGCCGACGCCAUUGCAAUGUUUCAUUCUGCCGACGCCCCCAAAUGUUGCACUUAAUGCUCAAGGUAUGCCUCUCCAUUUAGC